UGGGGAAUUUUGCACAAUGGGGGAAACCCUGAUGCAGCGACGCCGCGUGAUUUAGAAGGCCUUCGGGUUGUAAAAAUCUUUUCUAUGGGAAGAAAAUGACAGUACCAUAGGAAUAAGGACCGGCUAAUUACGUGCCAGCAGCCGCGGUAAUACGUAAGGUCCGAGCGUUGUCCGGAAUCAUUGGGCGUAAAGGGUACGUAGGCGGGUAAGCAAGUUAGAAGUGAAAUCCUAUAGCUCAACUAUAGUAAGCUUUUAAAACUGCUCAUCUUGAGGUAUGGAAGGAAAAGUGGAAUUCCUAGUGUAGCGGUGAAAUGCGCAGAUAUUAGGAGGAAUACCGGUGGCGAAGACGACUUUCUGGCCAUAACCUGACGCUGAGGUACGAAAGCGUGGGUAGCAAACAGG
Molecule: ribosomal RNA, 402 nt
Filed under: bacterium
Lineage: Bacteria
Description: partial 16S ribosomal RNA
Rfam family: Bacterial small subunit ribosomal RNA
Source: RNAcentral